This 71-nucleotide transfer RNA is filed under the name Candidatus Woesearchaeota archaeon. Its description in RNAcentral is "tRNA-His". It matches the Rfam family "tRNA". Rfam says of the family: Transfer RNA (tRNA) molecules are approximately 80 nucleotides in length. Lineage: Archaea; Nanobdellati; Candidatus Woesearchaeota. The record is from RNAcentral.
GCGGCAGUAGUUUAAUGGCAGAACCCAAGACUGUGGAUCUUGUGGCAGGGGUUCGAUUCCCCUCUGCCGCC